RNAcentral lists this non-coding RNA (30 nucleotides) under Rattus norvegicus (Norway rat). Lineage: Eukaryota; Metazoa; Chordata; Mammalia; Rodentia; Muridae. The record is from RNAcentral.
UACUUUCAAAUACGAUAAGAGAGUUUGACU